AUGGAGGAGUGGGUCUUUCUCGGCGAGAGCGGCAGCGACGCCGAGACCGUGUGCUCCGUGGACGACAAGGGCAGCGAGACGGACUUUGCCUUGGUGCAGCUCCGCCGAAGCCGUGCCGCGGAGAGCCGUGCCAAGGCUGACGGCGGCAAGAACCAAGACGAGGAGGGGAGCGACGACGACGAUGGCGAUUACUUCGACCUCAACCUCCCGGCCCUCGCAGGUAGCAAGGCCGUCUUCGGCGCCAACGGAGAUUGCUUCGAUUUCGAUCUGGCGGCUAGCAUCCUAAGCAUGGGCAGCGUUGGGUACGACAGCGGGUUCCACGGUGCCGACGCCGAGGACGACAUUGACACGGUGAGCCUUGGCGCGCCGGACGGCGACGGCGACGGCACCGUGCACCCAGAGCGCGUCCUCUGUGCCCACUGCGCCAAGAUCGUCACGGAUCAGAGCUCCGACGCGGCGAAGCUGGUCAAGUACGACGACAUCGACACUGGCAGCUCUGACGAGGAGCUCUCAGACGAGGAUGACACCGAUCAGAGCUCCGACAUGACCGAGUUGGUCAAGUACGACGACAUUGAUAUUGAUACUGGCAGCUCUGACUCAUCGGAGACCGACUACGGCGAUGACGACGAGCUCUCAGACGAGGAUGACACCGACGGCUCUGUCUGGGCAGAGUUGGUCAAGUACGACGACAUUGACACCGGCAGCUCUGACUCGUCGGAGAGCGACCACGACGGCAACGAUGAACUGUCGGACGAGGAUAACGCCGAUGGCAAUGUCGCUCCGCAGCAGCGCCGCUUGACAGCCAUAACAACGUCGCGGCCCCCUAGUGCGCCCCACCUCUUCUUCACCCAACGGAGCCGAUCGACUUACAAGAGCACCGACGCGGAGGAGGGCGACGACCAAAACACCCAGAAUUCCUCCGACGCGGCGGAAGACGACGACAACUAUGAAACCGAGAGCUACUCUGCCAAGGGUGACAAUGGCGACGAUCACACCAAGACCUCUUACACGUCGUUGGCUCACCGGGAUGAGGUUAUCUCAGGGUUCGUCAGUGCAAUGAUGACUAGAGCAGAUGCGCUGGCGCGGUUCGACGCGGUGGAAUCGGCGUUGCAGCUCCCGCAAUACAAUCUGAGCAGAUCCGACAUCAACGCCUGGAAGGCCGCCCUCGCCAAGGGGAGGGCGGAAAUUGCCGCCCGGCCGCGGCCGCCCGUCGCGCCCCACCUCUUCUUCACCCAGCCGAGCCGAUCGACCUAG
Molecule: ribosomal RNA, 1254 nt
Filed under: Triticum aestivum (bread wheat)
Lineage: Eukaryota; Viridiplantae; Streptophyta; Magnoliopsida; Poales; Poaceae
Description: partial small subunit ribosomal RNA
Source: RNAcentral